AUGAACGUUGGCGGCGUGGAUUAGGCAUGCAAGUCGAGCGUUCCCCGCAAGGGGGAAGCGGCAAACGGGGUAGUAAGGCGUCGGUACGUGCCUCCUGGACGGGGACAGCCACGGGAAACUGUGGGUAAUACCCGAUGAUGUCGGCCUCUGUAAUGGAGGCCGUCCAAAGGUGUGAUUCCGCCGGGAGAGCGGCUGACGUGGUAUUAGGUCGUUGGUAAGGUAAUGGCUUACCAAGCCUGGGAUGCCUAGGGGGUGUGAGAGCAUGGCCCCCACCAUUGGGACUGAGACACUGCCCAGACACCUACGGGUGGCUGCAGUCGAGAAUCUUCGGCAAUGGGCGCAAGCCUGACCGAGCGACGCCGCGUGCGGGAUGAAGGCCUUCGGGUUGUAAACCGCUGUCAGGGGGGAUGAAAUGCAUCGGGGUUCUCCCCGGUGUUUGACAUAGCCCCAGAGGAAGCGCGGGCUAAGUUCGU
This 473-nucleotide ribosomal RNA is filed under the name uncultured bacterium. Its description in RNAcentral is "bacterial SSU rRNA". It matches the Rfam family "Bacterial small subunit ribosomal RNA", at positions 29 to 506 of the family's 1533-position model. The record is from RNAcentral.